RNAcentral lists this ribosomal RNA (328 nucleotides) under uncultured eukaryote. Its description in RNAcentral is "partial 18S ribosomal RNA". It matches the Rfam family "Eukaryotic small subunit ribosomal RNA", at positions 1470 to 1796 of the family's 1831-position model. The record is from RNAcentral.
CCCUUAGAUGUUCUGGGCCGCACGCGCGCUACACUGUUCGACGCAGCGAGUCUUAACCUUGACCGAAAGGUUUGGGUAAUCUUCAGCAAAGUCGAACGUGAUGGGGAUCGAUCAUUGCAAUUAUUGAUCGUGAACGAGGAAUGCCUAGUAGGCGCAAGUCAUCAGCUUGCGUCGAUUACGUCCCUGCCCUUUGUACACACCGCCCGUCGCUCCUACCGAUUGGGUGUGCUGGUGAAAUGUUCGGAUCGGCCGUUUGUCGCGGUUUCCGCGUCAUGUGGCUGAGAAGUUCAUUAAACCCUCCCACCUAGAGGAAGGAGAAGUCGUAACA